UCGCACGGUGCAGCGAGAGCUUGCUCUCGUGGAUCAGUGGCGAACGGGUGAGUAACACGUGAGUAACCUGCCCCAGACUCUGGGAUAAGCCUUGGAAACGAGGUCUAAUACCGGAUACGAGACAAGACCGCAUGGUCAUUGUCUGGAAAGAAUUUCGGUCUGGGAUGGACUCGCGGCCUAUCAGCUUGUUGGUGAGGUAAUGGCUCACCAAGGCGACGACGGGUAGCCGGCCUGAGAGGGCGACCGGCCACACUGGAACUGAGACACGGUCCAGACUCCUACGGGAGGCAGCAGUGGGGAAUAUUGCACAAUGGGCGCAAGCCUGAUGCAGCGACGCCGCGUGGGGGAUGAAGGCCUUCGGGUUGUAAACCCCUUUCAGUAGGGAAGAAGCGAAAGUGACGGUACCUACAGAAGAAGCGCCGGCUAACUACGUGGCCAGCAGCCGCGGUAAUACGUAGGGCGCAAGCGUUGUCCGGGAAUUAUUGGGCGUAAAGAGCUCGUAGGCGGUUUGUCGCGUCUGCUGUGAAAUCCUGAGGCUCAACCUCGGGACUGCAGUGGGUACGGGCAGACUAGAGUGUGGUAGGGGAGACUGGAAUUCCUGGUGUAGCGGUGGAAUGCGCAGAUAUCAGGAGGAACACCAAUGGCGAAGGCAGGUCUCUGGGCCACUACUGACGCUGAGGAGCGAAAGCAUGGGGAGCGAACAGGAUUAGAUACCCUGGUAGUCCAUGCCGUAAACGGUGGGCACUAGAUGUGGGGCUCUUUCCAUGAGUUCCGCGUCGCAGCUAACGCAUUAAGUGCCCCGCCUGGGGAGUACGGCCGCAAGGCUAAAACUCAAAGGAAUUGACGGGGGCCCGCACAAGCGGCGGGAGCAUGCGGAUUAAUUCGAUGCAACGCGAAGAACCUUACCAAGGCUUGACAUAUACCCUUUUAUCCCUAGAGAUAGGGAGUCCUUUCGGGGGGGGUUAUACAGGUUGGUUGCAUGAUUGUCGGUCAGCUCGUGUCGUGAGAUGUUGGGUUAAGUCCCGCAACGAGCGCAACCCUCGUCCUAUGUUGCCAGCACGUAAUGGUGGGGACUCAUAGGAGACUGCCGGGGUCAACUCGGAGGAAGGUGGGGAUGACGUCAAAUCAUCAUGCCCCUUAUGUCUUGGGCUUCACGCAUGCUACAAUGGCCGGUACAAAGGGCUGCAAUACCGCAAGGUGGAGCGAAUCCCAAAAAGCCGGUCUCAGUUCGGAUUGAGGUCUGCAACUCGACCUCAUGAAGUUGGAGUCGCUAGUAAUCGCAGAUCAGCAACGCUGCGGUGAAUACGUUCCCGGGCCUUGUACACACCGCCCGUCAAGUCACGAAAGU
Molecule: ribosomal RNA, 1348 nt
Filed under: Demequina sp.
Lineage: Bacteria; Bacillati; Actinomycetota; Actinomycetes; Micrococcales; Demequinaceae
Description: bacterial SSU rRNA
Rfam family: Bacterial small subunit ribosomal RNA
Source: RNAcentral